GCUCAGCUAGAAACGGCACUUUGCAUAUGUGAAGAGAAGAAGAACAAAAUCAUAAACACUGCUGAUUUGGGUGCUGUUCCUCAGGAUACGAUCAAGCUAUUUAAGACGGUAGAACUGAAGAUUUCCACGUGCAAAGAGUACAUUUCUAAUGUGAAUGCAACUCUGCAAAAGAUUUUGUCGUCAUGGGCCGUCUAUACAGAGAACAUCCACUCGCUAAAAGCUUGGCUGGAAGAGACGCGGAAAGCACAUCCUAAAAAGAUUCCCACAGAGAACCUGGCGGCCUGGAACU
Molecule: long non-coding RNA, 289 nt
Organism: Gekko japonicus
Lineage: Eukaryota; Metazoa; Chordata; Lepidosauria; Squamata; Gekkonidae
Exons: 3
Source: RefSeq, a predicted model, not a curated record